Molecule: ribosomal RNA, 199 nt
Filed under: uncultured bacterium
Lineage: Bacteria
Description: partial 16S ribosomal RNA
Rfam family: Bacterial small subunit ribosomal RNA
Source: RNAcentral
ACGCUCGACACCUACGGGAGGCAGCAGUUGGGAAUAUUGGACAAUGGAGGAAACUCUGAUCCAGUGACGCCGCGUGAAGGAAGAAGGUCUUCGGAUUGUAAACUUAUUUUGUCAGGGAAGAAAAAAUGACUGUACCUGAAGAAAAAGCACCGGCUAACUACGUGCCACAGCCGCGGUAAUCUGAGCGGGCUGGCAAGGC